GGGUCAGUAGGUUGGUCGUGCCACCGGUACGUACUGGUCUCACUGAUUCCUCCUUCCUGAAGAACCAUGAUGCCAUUAAUUUGGUGUUGCGGGGAAACAGGACUGUUACUUUGAAAAAAUUAGAGUGUUUAAAGCAAGCUAACGCUUGAAUACAUUAGCAUGGAAUAAUGAAAUAGGACGAUCGAUCCUAUUUUGUUGGUUUCUAGGAUUGGCGUA
Molecule: ribosomal RNA, 216 nt
Filed under: Glomeromycotina sp.
Lineage: Eukaryota; Fungi; Glomeromycota
Description: partial small subunit ribosomal RNA
Rfam family: Eukaryotic small subunit ribosomal RNA (bases 40-216)
Source: RNAcentral